Molecule: ribosomal RNA, 330 nt
Filed under: Triticum aestivum (bread wheat)
Lineage: Eukaryota; Viridiplantae; Streptophyta; Magnoliopsida; Poales; Poaceae
Description: partial small subunit ribosomal RNA
Source: RNAcentral
AUGUUCUCUGCCAAGUCAGCCUAUGCGGCAAGGUUUGCUGGACGCGAGGUGUCUACUACAACCCAAUUCACGUGGAAGUCCAAGGCACCACUACGCUGUCGCUUCUUCCUCUGGCUCGCAAUGAAGAACCGUUGCUGCACAGCGGAUCGUCUAGCCCGACGCGGCUUACCACACCCGGAAGCCUGCCCGUUCUGCGACCAGCAAGAAGAGAGCUUGGAUCACAUCGAGCUAACGUGUGUCUUUGCGCGGACGAUCUGGAGGACGCUUUGCACUACGAUUGGCAAGCCAGCUUGGACUUCGGAGGGGCAUGAAACUUUGGUGGAGUGGUGC